GUCAUAUUAGAAAAAAAAAUUCUUUCCUUUUAUUCAAUGGUCUUGAUAAAUCGUCCCCUGGGUGUGAAUCUACUUGACAUUUUUCUAAUUAUUUUAAAACAACUCAACCAUCUCAAGUGUGAGAUCUUUUAGGUUAUAAUAUACGUCACGAAAAAAGAAAGAGCUUCUGCUAGAGAGAGACUACGCAUGGUUGCCACGAUCGACGUUGUUCAGCGUUAGCUGUGUGGGCACGUAUCGAUGCUCAGUCUACUCGUGUGUGCGUAAAGCGCGUUGGACUGUACUUUGGUAAAAGUUUGCGGUUUAACUGAAGCGCUCAGUGCAGCGGGAUCCUUGCGGUCAACCUGAGAAAUUUUGUCACUGCCGCUCUCGAUGUAACAACCUUAAGUUGGUGAAAGGAUUUAGUGAUGACGUUGCAGAAUAAACCAAUGAUAUUCCUUAUAAUCAUGAUAAUUAAAUUCCUUGUCAUUGUUAAUACUAUAGUGCAUUCAUUCAAAUAAUAAAAAAUGAAUUUAUGAAUAAAUAAUUCAGGAAAAACGCGAAUUUUCACAGAGGAGAGCAUUUACCCUCCACGGAGAUCUCAUGAUAAAACUUUCCAGUGCCUAAAUGGAAGUCGUCAGGUGUUGGCACACUUUUAGUACAAAAUUAGAAGUUUCCUCGAAGGGUUUCUACACAGAAAUUAUCCGACUUUCCUCUGCAAAGAAGAAAAAGAAUUUCACCAUCACUGGACAUUUGGUAUCAACCUCUGUGUAAAGGCCGUGCGUCACAACCGGCACAUCGCAUGGCCUUAAUACUCGCGACCUAUCGACGUGACCUGCGGCUAUACCUGCAAGAGGAGAAAAGGGUGUCUCAUCGAUACCACUGCGUGCGGGCACACUUAAAUUGAAAAAAAAUAAAAAACCCACGUUGAUACGACAAUGUUGGCCAACUGCAAUCUGCCAACAAAUUAUUUGAAAAAAAAAACUGAAGAAUUGAAAUAUCUCAUGAACUAAUCAAUCCAUUCAAAACUUUUUCAAUACCAACCAUUUCAUUGCCAAAGGGAAAAUGGCUGCCAAAUCUCAUGUUGAUGAAUAAAUUUUCGUAACGUUACCGUGCUAACCAACUUUUUUGACAACAGAAAAAUUGGAAUAUCUCGAAGGCUCAGUAAGAGCAAAGAUACAUAUUUUGAUUCAUUGAGAUAGAGUAUAAUAUUUAGUAUACAAAUAAAUGUAGCACCACAAUCAAUUACUUUAACUAGACCUCUUUAUUACAGGCACGAGGAAGGCACGACUGACCUAGAGGACCGGUGUCCAGAGAUUCAAUUCUUACUAUUUGAAAAACCUUUACUAAGGGAAAAAACAAGAGAACGUUUAUGACUCCAGAGGACAGAGUUUUCUUUGAAUAGAACAUAUGGCUAUUCUACAUUACUUCCCCGCAACAUUCGCAGUCCAUAAUUAUGAAAACAACCAUUUCAGUUCCCAGAAAAAUUCAAAAAACGGACGGUUACAAAGCUCCCAUUCAGAAGCAAUAACAGAAUAGAGAGAAAAGAGCCGACUUGAAACCACCACCUUGACAACGGCUGGCACAAUAUCCUCAAAGAUUUUUCCAACAUAUGUGUACACACCCGAAUACCCGCGACGUAGGGGAAAAGCCUCUUGUGCGACCGAGUGUCGUAUGACUCAUUGGCAGAGCUCUAUCGGUUAUAAACACGCCGCUAAACACAAUCUCCGUCUCUUUUUCUCCCCAUCAUCUUCACUAGGUACCGCUGGAUGAAUGCACCAAGUCGUUUGACACACCCUCGGGACAUUUAAGCAUCUCUUCCCCCCCCCCCCGGACGCCGCCUGCCAGCGUCACCACAUCGUCUUCUCUUUGCCCAGCGGGUGUAUACGCUCUGGCGCUCCGCAGGGAGCAGCUGCUUCUGCCUUUACACCGGGCGGUUCAUCUCCGAAUGUGCCCGUAGGUCAAACAGACAAGAAAUCAGUUGAAUAUGAGAAAACUAAAUGAUGUAUAACGAGCUUUGAUGUGGGACAGAGACCCAGUGAAACAUCAAUAUCAAUUGCUUUGAUUUUUUCUGCUCUUCAAGGUAUUUCACCGCAACUUUCAAAGAAGGGGGAGAGAAAUAGUCCGGAUAAGUUAUAGUAAUGUUUGGUAAUCGUGGUGAAAAUGUAUCGACUGCUCGGUAAAAAUUACUGACCGGUCGAAAUACAUUAAUUUUGCUCGAACCGUUGGUGUUUGUUAUUGGAUGAAGAAUCAAACGGUUGGAUCACGCGUUUAAUAAAAUGAAUACUCGAUCAUAUUUCGUAAUACGUGAUAUCUUUAUCUUUAUUCUUAAAACAUAAAAAACACACUUUCACAAUUGUUCUGAAUUUAUAAGUUGUGGAUUUAAGAAAUCGAAGGAACUUCACUGCUGAAUACAAUGACGGAACUAUUUGCAGCGCUUCGAUCAAGGCGGAAAUGGAAACCGAUUGGUUCCGUGUUGUUGCAAAGUUGGAGACUAAACUUGAACUAACUGAAACGAAAUAAGUAUUCGCACAUAAAAUGAUGAAUGGAGUGGGGGAAGUAUGGUCAUAAGAAACGAGGGCGGAUAAUCGGGUCUUACUUGGGCCGUAGGGUCUGCGGUAGAGUGAGCGGCCCUACUAAACACAUAACAAAUAAACGGCGGAAUUUCGGAUAGAUUAUAUAUUAAGAAAAUUUGGUUAAUCUUGGGGAAUUUCCGACGCUAUGACACCAUUGGUAUGAUCACUGGCUGAAGUCAGAGCAACACUAGAAAGUUUCAAGCUUGAAUCAGGCUUGAACUAGGCUUUCUACCGGGCUUGGGGUGACCUAUCAAAAUAGCGUUGGCCCUAGAUUGACAUCACCAUCGGUUGAAGCUAGACCCAUGGUAGGAAAUGCCAGGCUUGACAGUUCAGAGUCAACUACGCUUGACCCUAUUCUCAAUGUUUGGCAACUCCUACCAGGGAUGUAACAAUAAAGGCAAAAAAACAUUUUAUUAUGGAAUUUUUAACAAAUUAAAUUCAUUUGCUUCGAUUUAUUGGUAGCUAUUUCAAAAAAUUU
Molecule: long non-coding RNA, 3030 nt
Organism: Diachasmimorpha longicaudata
Lineage: Eukaryota; Metazoa; Arthropoda; Insecta; Hymenoptera; Braconidae
Exons: 3
Source: RefSeq, a predicted model, not a curated record